ACUAAGUCCCGCCGGAAUUUUGUGUUCCCCUCGGGACGGUGUCGCGGUAACACCGGUCCACUUCCGGGUUGCGCCCGAUGUUGCAAUAACAACGCUAAUGACAGAUUGACAUCUGGUGUGGGGAGUUUGAUGUGGCGAUCUGUGAGAGGAUUAUGGAGGCGGAGUAACCACAUAAAAAGAGAAGUGCAGAGACCAUGAGGAGGGUUGUGGAUUCUAUUUGGUCGUUCGUUCUCCCGGCUAUUCUUCCUGGUUGGCUUGCCCCUGUGUGUGGUUCUUCUCUUUGGACGUGUUCCCCUAGGAGAGGUGAAUUCCUGGGACGUUUGGGCUGGCGUGUGGAGGUAUUUGAAGACUAUUGUGGGGUUUCGGUUAUCUGGCUGUGUAACAGAUAUAUCAGCGAUCGAGUGGAGAUAUUCAGGACAGAAAGAGUGUGAGUUCUGGAAAGCAAGUGAAGACCAGACCGCGCCAUCGCUAUCGGAGGGAAGUUAAGAGACCUGAUCUGGGAUUUCAAUCAAUUGUAUACAUCUGGACUGGGACUGAUAACGUUGUGAAGUGGACGGAGUCAUCGUUGGGUGAGUGCUGGCUCUAUUUGCACUAAGAGUGGGUGUGCCGUGUCUGAAGUGGUGUGUUUGCACAAUAAAUCGUUUGAAGUGAAGUUACAGAGUGUGGGGAAGAUACAUAGAGUUAAUGCCGGACGCUCACCACCCCGAGAGCCCACCACCGUCACCGUAAUCCACACCCAGGCACUUAACCGAAGCCUCUCCCAGCCGUAAGCCCCACUACUUAUUCAAGAACACAUACUUGCUGUUGAUUACUUACUCUGCUGUGCAGAUCGCAGGAUCCUCUGGGCCGAAUGCCGCAUGUGAUGUCCCUAUGAAAAGAGGUGGACACAAGAAUUAUUCCUUUCCCGGUCACAACCGAAGCCUCUCCCAGCCGUAAGCCCCACUACUUAUUCAAGAACGCAUACUUGCUGUUGAUUACCUACUCUGCUGUGCAGAUCGCAGGAUCCUCUGGGCCGAAUGCUGCAUGUGAUGACCCUGUAGAAAGAGACCACAGGAUUCUCUGGGCCGAAUGCUGCAUGUGAUGUCCCUGUAGAAGGAGGUGGACACGAGAAUUAUUCCUUUUCCCGGUCUCGACCGAAACAUCCACGAGCUCUACUUACCCGGAUACCCUCUCUCACUCCGGGACGGGCGACAGACUACCCUGGCUCUUGCUGGCCCCGUACAGGCACAAACUGCCGACGACUCUACGCCUUCCCGGCGUCCGAGGUCUGGCUCCGUUCUGGUCGGGAGACACAGAAGGAACAAUGAACUUUUAAAUUGCUUUUAACCAAAUAAAACCUUGUUCAUUUUUUAUACUCUCGUCCGUCUGGUUUUUCUGGCACGCUCCCCGAGGUGAUCCUGGGUUUCAGGGGUGGGUGCAGUCCGGCUUGGCCCCCCCGACCU
Molecule: long non-coding RNA, 1442 nt
Organism: Carassius gibelio (silver crucian carp)
Lineage: Eukaryota; Metazoa; Chordata; Actinopteri; Cypriniformes; Cyprinidae
Exons: 3
Source: RefSeq, a predicted model, not a curated record